CGCGGGGUGGAGCAGCUCGGUAGCUCGCUGGGCUCAUAACCCAGAGGUCGCAGGUUCGAAUACUGUCCCCGCUACCA
Molecule: transfer RNA, 77 nt
Filed under: Mycobacterium tuberculosis
Lineage: Bacteria; Bacillati; Actinomycetota; Actinomycetes; Mycobacteriales; Mycobacteriaceae
Description: tRNA-Met(cat)
Rfam family: tRNA
About the family: Transfer RNA (tRNA) molecules are approximately 80 nucleotides in length. Their secondary structure includes four short double-helical elements and three loops (D, anti-codon, and T loops).
Source: RNAcentral